GAUGCCCGCUCGCCUGCCGGCGCUACGCCCUUGCGCGUGAGCCGCUCCGGAGCGGCGGCCUCCGGCCGGGCCGCUGGCGAUGCCUGCCUCGCGGGGCGGGGAGAAGGGUAAAGGUGGCUGUUUCCUUCCUACAUCGGCUCCCAGAGCGCGCGGAGUGGAGGUGUGAACCGCGUAGCUGGCCUCCUCGAGCCUCAGUUUCCCGUUGUGGACGAAGGUGCGAAGAGUCCCAGCGAAGGCUGUGCCGGAGCCGGGAGAGGCGGUGGACGCAAACCCUUUGCGCGCCGGGCCUGGGUUCUUACUGAAAGUAACACUGCAGAAACAUGUCUAGAUGUGAAAGGCAGAACCACAAGGAACAAGUUUUCCAUCCGUGCAACAAUACAGAUGAAUAUUAAAUGCAUAUUUCCGAGUAAAAGAAGCCAGAAUGAUAAGCCUGGAGAAAUCUACUUUCUAGAAAAGGCAGAAGUUAUAGAGACAGAAAACAGAUCAGCCAGUUAUUGCUGAGAGUUUGGGGAAAGGAAAGCAUUCACUCUGUGACGCACGGGGGAUUUUGAGGACCUUGAAAGGAUUUUGUAUGCUACUGUAGUGCUGGUGAGGUGACUCUGUCCAUUGUCAAAACCCAUAGAACUUUGCUGAAGAGUGAACCUUAAUGUAUGCAAAUUUUUAAACAAUCAACUGGGAUGGGUGAGGGAUCCCAGAAUGGAAAACCGACAGUGACAAAAGAAAUGAAGUAUAUCACAGAUUUAUAUCUUAACCUCACUGAAAAGGAUGGGGAAUAUAUUUGGAAAUGACUGGAAACUAAGACUGAAGACAAAAGUUAACUGUAUCUAGCACUAUACUCUAGUUGGUGAGAGUGCUGGUCAGGGUACAAGUCUACCAUUCUGAAACCACUGCACGCAUGUGCUGGGAUUGAACGAAUGUCAAUGGCUGGCAGAUGGUGGGAGCCAGGUUUCUCCCUGCGGAGAGGAAAGCUCCAGUAAAAGGAACCAGGACUCCUGGGAGGAAAGGCUGAUUCCAGGACUGGGCCAAAGAAUAUACAAGAUGAGCUGAGAACAUCUUGCAGUUCCAGAAGCUACCCACACCAAAGAUAAGGCCUUACAAGGGAGGACAAGGACAAGUAAACAAACAGACGGAAAGAAGCUGCACACAGACCACCAGAAGAAAUGACAUUUAGGCAGAGGUGCCUGGAAGCCCAUCCAGUUAUGUACCAGGAAUCGAACUCACGACCUUGCACUUGCCAGGCAGGCGCUGUGCCACUGAGCUAAAUCCCCAGCCCUGAGCUAAGCAUUUUACAUGCUUCAUCUUGCUUAAAUUUUACAAAAUCCCAGGUCCUGGCAACAAUCCUUCCACUUUCUUCAAGAUACAGGCUUCCCAAGCACUGGAUGCAAAACUGUCAUGCACACAAUUCAGACGCUUGUGGCACACGUUUCCCCCAUGAUAAAGUCAUUCUGUCUUCCACAGGGUGAGCCCAGCCCAUCAUUACCUCCUGCUCCUCCCUCCUCUGGAGAGGAGAUCAUCAUGCUAAUCUCUGGAUUCCCUUUGGUCAAAGCAAGCCACUUGGGCAGGAAAAGUUACUUGGCUGAAAUGAAAGAGGGCAUCUCACUCUCAGGGGUCUCUCUGUCAUUUCCGCUUCUAGAAGGUACCCCAGUGAGUGAGUUGUAGGGUCACACAUGGCCUUCUGAGGACAAAGGAAUCUCCUCCAUCUGCAUGAAGCAGCGUGGGCCAUGAGUAACUGUUUUUCCAACUGGCAACUUCUGACCUUGUUCUAUUAGCCAGUCCUUUACUCCCUAUUCUUGAGCCACCUCAUCCAAUGAACCUGCUGUGAACUAAAGUCCCAAUCAUCACGGACUUCCAGCCAUAGAGAAGUUCAGCAAAUCAUGCCACCAAAUACAACUGGAAAGCUGGACAAAAAUGACUGGAACAAUCAUCUUGGCACUCUGAGAAUACGUUCAAGGUGGACAACAACCUGAAAAGCAGGUAUGCUUGAAGAAUGAAUGAACUUCAGGUAAGAGCAGUGAAGCCUGUGGUGUUGUGGCUGGGGCCGCUCCUCGUCUCCCACCACCCCAGGUUUGUCACUGCAACCACUCUGUCCGGUCAACUUAGCUAAGUACCAGCCACAGUGCUGCCACCAUCACAGGGCAUGAAGAACGAGGGAAGGACUAGAGGCAUAGUGAAGUAAAUUCUGUAUUUUUCAGGAAUUAAAUUAGUAUUAAUAAAAUGGAUUAUAAUAAAUUAAAUAUAUAUUGUUAUGUUAAAAAUACCUAAAAAUAAUUUUUCAAAAACAACAGAGUAAUUUAAAUGUUGCCCUAAAGUAUUUAGUACAAAAUAAAGCAAUCAAGGAGGAACAGAAGCUGGGUAUGGUGGUGCAUGCA
Long non-coding RNA from Chinchilla lanigera (long-tailed chinchilla), 2369 nucleotides. RefSeq lists it as uncharacterized. The transcript has 7 exons. NCBI's taxonomy places the organism in Eukaryota, Metazoa, Chordata, Mammalia, Rodentia, Chinchillidae. The record is from RefSeq and is a predicted model, not a curated record.